This 599-nucleotide ribosomal RNA is filed under the name uncultured bacterium. RNAcentral describes it as "bacterial SSU rRNA". It matches the Rfam family "Bacterial small subunit ribosomal RNA", at positions 138 to 732 of the family's 1533-position model. The record is from RNAcentral.
GGGGGAUAACGUAGCGAAAGUUACGCUAAUACCGCAUAUUCUGUGAGCAGGAAAGCAGGGGAUCGCAAGACCUUGCGCUGAUUGAGCGGCCGAUAUCAGAUUAGCUAGUUGGUGAGGUAAAGGCUCACCAAGGCGACGAUCUGUAGCGGGUCUGAGAGGAUGAUCCGCCACACUGGAACUGAGACACGGUCCAGACUCCUACGGGAGGCAGCAGUGGGGAAUUUUGGACAAUGGGGGCAACCCUGAUCCAGCCAUGCCGCGUGAGUGAAGAAGGCCUUCGGGUUGUAAAGCUCUUUCAGCCGGGAAGAAAUCACAUGGGUUAAUACCCUGUGUGGAUGACGGUACCGGAAUAAGAAGCACCGGCUAACUACGUGCCAGCAGCCGCGGUAAUACGUAGGGUGCGAGCGUUAAUCGGAAUUACUGGGCGUAAAGCGUGCGCAGGCGGUUUGUUAAGAUAGGCGUGAAAUCCCCGGGCUCAACCUGGGAACUGCGUUUAUGACUGGCAGGCUAGAGUAUGGCAGAGGGGGGUGGAAUUCCACGUGUAGCAGUGAAAUGCGUAGAGAUGUGGAGGAACACCGAUGGCGAAGGCAGCCCCCUGG